RNAcentral lists this ribosomal RNA (318 nucleotides) under uncultured bacterium. RNAcentral describes it as "bacterial SSU rRNA". It matches the Rfam family "Bacterial small subunit ribosomal RNA", at positions 43 to 364 of the family's 1533-position model. The record is from RNAcentral.
UCAGGCCUAACACAUGCAAGUCGAACGGUAACAGGUCUUCGGAUGCUGACGAGUGGCGAACGGGUGAGUAAUGCAUCGGAACGUGCCCAGUUGUGGGGGAUAACUGCUCGAAAGAGCAGCUAAUACCGCAUACGACCUGAGGGUGAAAGCGGGGGAUCGCAAGACCUCGCGCAAUUGGAGCGGCCGAUGUCAGAUUAGGUAGUUGGUGGGGUAAAGGCCUACCAAGCCGACGAUCUGUAGUUGGUCUGAGAGGACGACCAGCCACACUGGGAGUGAGACACGGCCCAGACUCCUACGGGAGGCAGCAGUGGGGAAUUU